ACAUUAAAACGCCGUUUCCCGUACGACCCCCAAGGUUAAGCAACGUCCAGCCUGGUCAGUACCUAGAUAGGUAACCGCUUGGGAAUACCAAGUGCUGUAAG
This is a non-coding RNA of Acanthosepion pharaonis, 101 nucleotides long. NCBI's taxonomy places the organism in Eukaryota, Metazoa, Mollusca, Cephalopoda, Sepiida, Sepiidae. The record is from the annotation of a GenBank genome assembly.